Molecule: ribosomal RNA, 486 nt
Filed under: Salmonella enterica subsp. enterica serovar Cerro
Lineage: Bacteria; Pseudomonadati; Pseudomonadota; Gammaproteobacteria; Enterobacterales; Enterobacteriaceae
Description: partial 23S ribosomal RNA
Rfam family: Bacterial large subunit ribosomal RNA
Source: RNAcentral
AAUCCAUAGGUUAAUGAGGCGAACCGGGGGAACUGAAACAUCUAAGUACCCCGAGGAAAAGAAAUCAACCGAGAUUCCCCCAGUAGCGGCGAGCGAACGGGGAGGAGCCCAGAGCCUGAAUCAGCAUGUGUGUUAGUGGAAGCGUCUGGAAAGGCGCGCGAUACAGGGUGACAGCCCCGUACACAAAAGCGCAUGUGCUGUGAGCUCGAUGAGUAGGGCGGGACACGUGGUAUCCUGUCUGAAUAUGGGGGGACCAUCCUCCAAGGCUAAAUACUCCUGACUGACCGAUAGUGAACCAGUACCGUGAGGGAAAGGCGAAAAGAACCCCGGCGAGGGGAGUGAAAAAGAACCUGAAACCGUGUACGUACAAGCAGUGGGAGCACCCUUUUGGGUGUGACUGCGUACCUUUUGUAUAAUGGGUCAGCGACUUAUAUUCUGUAGCAAGGUUAACCGUAUAGGGGAGCCGUAGGGAAACCGAGUCUUAAU